GAUGAACGCUGGCGGCGUGCCUAAUACAUGCAAGUCGAGCGAACAGACGAGGAGCUUGCUCCUCUGACGUUAGCGGCGGACGGGUGAGUAACACGUGGAUAACCUACCUAUAAGACUGGGAUAACUUCGGGAAACCGGAGCUAAUACCGGAUAAUAUAUUGAACCGCAUGGUUCAAUAGUGAAAGACGGUUUUGCUGUCACUUAUAGAUGGAUCCGCGCCGCAUUAGCUAGUUGGUAAGGUAACGGCUUACCAAGGCAACGAUGCGUAGCCGACCUGAGAGGGUGAUCGGCCACACUGGAACUGAGACACGGUCCAGACUCCUAAGGGAGGCAGCAGUAGGGAAUCUUCCGCAAUGGGCGAAAGCCUGACGGAGCAACGCAGCGUGAGUGAUGAAGGUCUUCGGAUCGUAAAACUCUGUUAUUAGGGAAGAACAAAUGUGUAAGUAACUAUGCACGUCUUGACGGUACCUAAUCAGAAAGCCACGGCUAACUACGUG
RNAcentral lists this ribosomal RNA (497 nucleotides) under uncultured bacterium. RNAcentral describes it as "partial 16S ribosomal RNA". It matches the Rfam family "Bacterial small subunit ribosomal RNA", at positions 28 to 507 of the family's 1533-position model. The record is from RNAcentral.